RNAcentral lists this ribosomal RNA (162 nucleotides) under Triticum aestivum (bread wheat). Its description in RNAcentral is "partial small subunit ribosomal RNA". Lineage: Eukaryota; Viridiplantae; Streptophyta; Magnoliopsida; Poales; Poaceae. The record is from RNAcentral.
AUGAGAGGCCUUGUCGACAAACUUGCUGCAGCGGGAAAGAGGAUCAACGACGAUGAUCUCAUCUCAGCACUCUUUGAUGGACUGAACACGGACAACAAUCCACCAGUCUCAUCCAUGUCCAGGAAAAUAGAGCUAAUCGCCCUCACCAACCUGUACUCGUAG